CGCUAUCGCCGAUGAUGAAACUUCAACUAUGAAAUUAGAUCUACUCUUGCGUCCCACUAAAUAACAAGCUAUUUUUUAUUGAUUCUUUAUUUGAUGGAACUUCACAGUACUACUUCCCUACUGAAAUAUUGUUAGAAGAAACACUAAGGAGGCAUCAAUAAACAACAAAAUAAUCAAUCGAGAACCUCAUUCUGCUUCGAUCUGUUGUACAGAAAACACAAACAGAAUGGAAAUCAUAAUGAAAAAAAUAAAAUCAUCCAUGCUUCUUAGGAACUCAAUCUAAUCCUCCAUAAUAGAGUAAAAUCUAUCAUGCUCCCCAUGAAAUUUAUCUACAACUCCGCAACAUAAUUAAAUCUGGAAGCUCCUUGUUUGAUGCAGGUUCGAGAAGUUGUUGAUGCCGCCAUCAAACUGAAUCUCCUCGUUUGAUGAGGUUGUCAAAUUGUGGCCAAUAAGAGCACGAUCAACCACUCUUCAUUCCGCAAAGCUUCAUAUUUUUGUUCAAAAAAAAAAAAAGAAAGAAGGUUUGAAGUGAAGAAGAUGAACGAAGGGAAGAAGAAGAUCCAUCAGCAUGGGAGAAAAUAGAGAGCAAGAUUUUUGGGUUGUGUGUUGGAGAGAGUGAUAGAAAUAAACUAAUGGGAAGAUAUAGGAAAACAUGAUCUGAAAUAGAAUUGAGGGAAAAGAGGGAAAGAAAGAGAGCAACUUGGCAGUGAAUUUAAU
Molecule: long non-coding RNA, 717 nt
Filed under: Linum usitatissimum (flax)
Lineage: Eukaryota; Viridiplantae; Streptophyta; Magnoliopsida; Malpighiales; Linaceae
Description: long non-coding RNA (LUSI_LNC006598)
Source: RNAcentral